RNAcentral lists this ribosomal RNA (396 nucleotides) under Salmonella enterica. RNAcentral's name for it is "bacterial LSU rRNA". It matches the Rfam family "Bacterial large subunit ribosomal RNA", at positions 1192 to 1587 of the family's 2925-position model. Lineage: Bacteria; Pseudomonadati; Pseudomonadota; Gammaproteobacteria; Enterobacterales; Enterobacteriaceae. The record is from RNAcentral.
CACCGAAGCUGCGGCAGCGACGCUGAUGCGUUGUUGGGUAGGGGAGCGUUCUGUAAGCCUGCGAAGGUGACCUGUGAGGGUUGCUGGAGGUAUCAGAAGUGCGAAUGCUGACAUAAGUAACGAUAAAGCGGGUGAAAAGCCCGCUCGCCGGAAGACCAAGGGUUCCUGUCCAACGUUAAUCGGGGCAGGGUGAGUCGACCCCUAAGGCGAGGCCGAAAGGCGUAGUUGAUGGGAAACGGGUUAAUAUUCCCGUACUUGGUGUUACUGCGAAGGGGGGACGGAGAAGGCUAUGUUGGCCGGGCGACGGUUGUCCCGGUUUAAGCGUGUAGGUGUGUGUUCCAGGUAAAUCCGGUUCACUUUAACACUGAGGCGUGAUGACGAGGCACUACGGUGCUG